UACAGAGGGUGCAAGCGUUAAUCGGAAUUACUGGGCGUAAAGCGUGCGUAGACGGUUAAGUAAGUCAGGUGUGAAAGCCCCGGGCUCAACCUGGGAAUUGCAUUUGAGACUGCCUAGCUAGGGUGCGGAAGAGGGAAGCGGAAUUUCCGGUGUAGCGGUGAAAUGCGUAGAUAUCGGAAGGAACAUCAGUGGCGAAAGCGGCUUCCUGGACCAGUACCGACGUUCAGGCACGAAAGCGUGGGGAGCAAACAGG
RNAcentral lists this ribosomal RNA (253 nucleotides) under uncultured bacterium. Its description in RNAcentral is "partial 16S ribosomal RNA". It matches the Rfam family "Bacterial small subunit ribosomal RNA", at positions 524 to 776 of the family's 1533-position model. The record is from RNAcentral.